GAUAGGUCUCUGUCGCUAGCGUGAUUGGACACUGACAGAGAGUCAACUAGCCUUGUUCGCGCGGUUCUUGGCGGGCGGGAACCGAAGACGGUCCGAGCCACGAGGGGGGAGGCUCGGACCGUCGUGC
RNAcentral lists this non-coding RNA (127 nucleotides) under Streptomyces roseochromogenus subsp. oscitans DS 12.976. RNAcentral describes it as "Streptomyces RNA 3920". It matches the Rfam family "Streptomyces RNA 3920". Rfam says of the family: Identified by deep sequencing of transcriptome at the end of exponential growth phase. The record is from Rfam by way of RNAcentral. Lineage: Bacteria; Bacillati; Actinomycetota; Actinomycetes; Kitasatosporales; Streptomycetaceae.